GGCCCCAUCGUCUAGUUAGGCCUAGGACACCGGGUUUUCAUCCCGGCAACUGGGGUUCAAAUCCCCAUGGGGUCA
RNAcentral lists this transfer RNA (75 nucleotides) under Planctomycetota bacterium. Its description in RNAcentral is "Planctomycetes bacterium (bioreactor metagenome) tRNA-Glu". It matches the Rfam family "tRNA". From Rfam's summary of the family: Transfer RNA (tRNA) molecules are approximately 80 nucleotides in length. Their secondary structure includes four short double-helical elements and three loops (D, anti-codon, and T loops). RNAcentral also lists the same sequence under 3 other names. The record is from RNAcentral. Lineage: Bacteria; Pseudomonadati; Planctomycetota.